This 253-nucleotide ribosomal RNA is filed under the name uncultured bacterium. RNAcentral's name for it is "partial 16S ribosomal RNA". It matches the Rfam family "Bacterial small subunit ribosomal RNA", at positions 524 to 776 of the family's 1533-position model. The record is from RNAcentral.
UACGAAGGAUGCGAGCGUUAUCCGGAUUUAUUGGGUUUAAAGGGUGCGUAGGCGGCCUUAUAAGUCAGUGGUGAAAUCCUAUCGCUUAACGAUAGACGUGCCAUUGAUACUGUAGGGCUUGAGUACAGAUGCCGUUGGCGGAAUGUGUCAUGUAGCGGUGAAAUGCUUAGAUAUGACACAGAACACCGAUUGCGAAGGCAGCUCACUAAACUGUAACUGACGCUGAGGCACGAAAGCGUGGGGAGCAAACAGG